CUCUUGCUCUCUCUCCAACCCACAAAAUUUGUCUCUCUGUCUCUAACCCCCGAUCUAGAUCCGGCCAACGACGGCGACACAAACCGGUGGAGAGCAAAUUCCUUCAACUCGCCGGUGAAGUUCUUCAGACUUUGAAUCGCUGGUGAAGAUCUAUUUCUUUCAGAUCAUGGGUGAAGUCCUUCAAAUCAAAAAGCGUUUUAGAAGAAUUUAAAGUGAAAUUUUCAUGAGAAAGCAUUAAUUUAGAGGAUUAGAUUGCUGGAUUUGUUUGCACGAGGAAGAAACACACGGUCAUGAUUUGAAGGAAAUUUAGUCCGUGAUUUUUUGAAGGAAAUUCAGUUUUACCUUCAUUUAAAAAUUCAACACAGUGAUGAUUUGCACUUGCAUAGGUUUCUUCCAUCAAUUGGGGUAGUUAAAUUCCACACGGACAUUAUUCUGUUUUUUCCAUUAGGCUUUUUUUUUUUCCCUUUCCUUUUAACAUUGGCCUUGUUCAAUUGAACUCUGCACUUAGUAAUUUUUUACACAGCCAAUAUUGAUUUCGCUCACAUGGUUGUACUACAUUUGUUCGAUGGUGGCAGGAAGGAAUAAAUAUAGCCGAGGAACAUGACUAUUGGUAGAUUUCCCUCGACAUAACUCUACGUAAGGAUUAAAGAGACUCGAAAGACUACGAGAAUGGAAAGAAAGGCGUCAAUAAAAUGUAGCAUUGAACUUCGAUGUAAUUG
RNAcentral lists this long non-coding RNA (719 nucleotides) under Olea europaea subsp. europaea. The record is from RNAcentral. Lineage: Eukaryota; Viridiplantae; Streptophyta; Magnoliopsida; Lamiales; Oleaceae.